UAACGUCUUCAGGGCGGGGCGAAACUCCCCACCGGCGGUAGGCGCGGUCACGCGCGAGCCCGCGAGCGCCUCCAGGCCGCGGUUCCGAUUCGGGACCGGGCGCGGAGGGUCAGCAGAUCCGGUCCGAUGCCGGAGCCGACGGUCACAGUCCGGAUGAAAGAAGACGGCU
RNAcentral lists this non-coding RNA (169 nucleotides) under Lysobacter antibioticus. RNAcentral's name for it is "FMN sequence". It matches the Rfam family "FMN riboswitch aptamer (RFN element)". Rfam says of the family: The RFN element is a highly conserved domain that is found frequently in the 5'-untranslated regions of prokaryotic mRNAs that encode for flavin mononucleotide (FMN) biosynthesis and transport proteins. This element is a metabolite-dependent riboswitch that directly binds FMN in the absence of proteins. In Bacillus subtilis, the riboswitch most likely controls gene expression by causing premature transcription termination within the 5' untranslated region of the ribDEAHT operon and precluding access to the ribosome-binding site of ypaA mRNA. Lineage: Bacteria; Pseudomonadati; Pseudomonadota; Gammaproteobacteria; Lysobacterales; Lysobacteraceae. The record is from Rfam by way of RNAcentral.